This 253-nucleotide ribosomal RNA is filed under the name uncultured bacterium. RNAcentral describes it as "partial 16S ribosomal RNA". It matches the Rfam family "Bacterial small subunit ribosomal RNA", at positions 524 to 776 of the family's 1533-position model. The record is from RNAcentral.
UACGGAGGGUGCAAGCGUUAUCCGGAUUCACUGGGUUUAAAGGGUGCGUAGGUGGGUCUGUAAGUCAGUGGUGAAAUCUCCGAGCUUAACUCGGAAACUGCCAUUGAUACUAUUAGUCUUGAAUUAUCUGGAGGUGAGCGGAAUAUGUCAUGUAGCGGUGAAAUGCUUAGAUAUGACAUAGAACACCAAUUGCGAAGGCAGCUCACUACGGAUAUAUUGACACUGAGGCACGAAAGCGUGGGGAUCAAACAGG